UAGACCUGAAGUCAGUCGAGACUACCCGCUGAAUUUAA
Molecule: ribosomal RNA, 38 nt
Filed under: Eimeria acervulina
Lineage: Eukaryota; Apicomplexa; Conoidasida; Eucoccidiorida; Eimeriidae
Description: partial 28S ribosomal RNA
Source: RNAcentral